This 497-nucleotide ribosomal RNA is filed under the name uncultured bacterium. RNAcentral's name for it is "partial 16S ribosomal RNA". It matches the Rfam family "Bacterial small subunit ribosomal RNA", at positions 28 to 507 of the family's 1533-position model. The record is from RNAcentral.
GAUGAACGCUGGCGGCGUGCCUAAUACAUGCCAGUCGAGCGAACGGACGAGAAGCUUGCUUCUCUGAUGUUAGCGGCGGACGGGUGAGUAACACGUGGAUAACCUACCUAUAAGACUGGGAUAACUUCGGGAAACCGGAGCUAAUACCGGAUAAUAUUUUGAACCGCAUGGUUCAAAAGUGAAAGACGGUCUUGCUGUCACUUAUAGAUGGAUCCGCGCUGCAUUAGCUAGUUGGUAAGGUAACGGCUUACCAAGGCAACGAUGCAUAGCCGACCUGAGAGGGUGAUCGGCCACACUGGAACUGAGACACGGUCCAGACUCCUACGGGAGGCAGCAGUAGGGAAUCUUCCGCAAUGGGCGAAAGCCUGACGGAGCAACGCCGCGUGAGUGAUGAAGGUAUUCGGAUCGUAAAACUCUGUUAUUAGGGAAGAACAUAUGUGUAAGUAACUGUGCACAUCUUGACGGUACCUAAUCAGAAAGCCACGGCUAACUACGUG